CUGAUUCUUCUUCUCUGCACCCUCCAUUCUCCCUCUCUCCCUUUCUUUCCUCUCUCCCUCCCCCUCCCCCACUCUCCCAAUGUCCCUCCCCCUCCUCUGAAUAACCAAGCUUUUGCCUCUAAAAGUCACCAGAACCAGAUGAGAGAGAGAGAGAGAGAGAGAGAGAGAGAGAGAGAGAGAGAGAGAGAGAGAGAGAGAGAGAGAGAGAGAGAGAGAGAGAGAGAGAGGCGCCUGCGGUGACUGGAAGACAGGAGGGAGCCUGGUCCCUCUAGGAGUGGAAACUUGAUGCUUCUGGGCCAAGAUUUGCCAGGGCCUCGCCUAAGACGCCUAAAGGAACCUGUUUGUGUGCUGUGGCCACGUUCUGCUGUGACUGGAUCUUGUCUUCUGCCUGGAGGCUCGGUUUCGGUCCGGCUGGAUUUGGGGGAACGACACUGCCUGGCGCAGGGACAUCCAACGAGACUUCAAAGAAGCAUAAAAUGAGCAGACUAUUCAAUCAAACAAAGACCGGGGGCAGCAGUACGCCAGCAAGACAGCAUCUUCUCCCCAGCCUAGAAGUCCUGAGAAAUCGAGGAUCUCCCCCUAAAACAUUCACAUACAAGAUAUGUGCAAUCAAGCUGCCAGCACUUGGUAAAAAGCUCAUGAUGCCUAACCCAAUGAUCCGGAGCAGAUCUUUGAAUCAGCUGCCACUUCUAUAGAAUGGGAUUUCCCCCCUCUUCCUUUUUAACCGGCGCUGGAAACUGCCCAUGGCUUUAUACAUCUCAGUAGAGGAAGGCUAAAGAACCUUACGUGAGAAUGAAGCAAUUUACAAUGCAAAUAGAGGCCUGUGAAGGGAUGGACGCUGCUGCUCACGGGAACAGCUUGCUGCAUCUUAGUCGCUGGUUCUUAUUUUCUGAUAUUAAUAGAUGAAUUGUUGGCUAACGCGGCUGGAGAUUACUUGCUGGAAGGGAAAAAAGUUUGGAAUAAACUCUGAAUGCAACAGCUCUUAUUUGGAUGUUUCAGCCGCACACACUCAGACAGAAACCAGGUCAUGUUUGCAUGAAAGGAGGAAUCUUAACCGCGGCGAAUAUCCUGGAGGACUACCCUUCUGUAAAUCCAGAGUGGAUCGGAUCUGGAGUCCAGCCAGAGGAAGACAGCCCUGUGAGGGAAGCGAGUUGUUAUCUUUGGUUAUCUAGCUGUAUGAGUGUAUUGGUCUUCAUAAAGCUAGAUAACCGAAAGUAAAAACUCCUUCAAGAUCACCGAGGAGCGGUCCAGAAUGAAAGACUCCAACCAAGAGACAGUAAAAACGAGAAAGGUCAGGAAUGCUUAUUGAAUCUAACUUUUCUUUUCUUAUGAUUACAAGUGGGAUGCAGGCAAUUCAGUGACCCACAGGCUGAAAUCUAAAGGGCCAGGUUUUGAGAAGGAGAAUUGUGUGGUGUUUUUAUGGGCGAAGAUGCAUGUACUGUUCUAUCUUGUUCUAUUUUGAAGCAAACGUUUACAUAUGAGAAAUGUUUUUCUUAGAAAGCUGUUACAGCGGUGCCUGAGACCUCGUUUAAAAAUGAUUCCAUAAUUAUGUAGAUUUGGGCAGUUCCCUUCUGAGGCCCCUCCCUCAAGUUUGAAGCUUGUGCUUGGAAACUUUCUAUGUACAUUAAAUUCUAUGAGGUCAGACUUUCAGUAAAGCUUAUACUGGAAGGUUAAUAAUUUAUAUCUCCCGAGGACUUAGAGCUAGCAGGGAAAAAUGGAGGAGGGGGCGUCUGAUUUUUUAUUCUUCUAUUCAAAAUACAAGGACAGAUGCUUCUCUGUUCCAAGAGGGUUUCCUUGAGGAAGCUACUGAAGCAGAAAGACAUGAUGGAGACGAGAUCGCCUCCCCUCUUGUCAAAGUGUUAAAAAAAUGUUCUGUCUUACUCUGCGCCUAGCAUUGGAUAGGAAAGUGACACUUAACGCCACAACCCACGUGUGCGCCUCCUCUCUUUUUGUUUAAGGAUGAUCAGGUCUAUCCAGGAAACAGCUCUGGCAUCCCAAACUGAAAUAAUUAGGACGUAUAUAGACCUGACAAAAAUGGAAAGGGGGUGGGGAAUCUGAGGGUCUGUCUUGCCUAAUUGAUUCCGCUAAACGGAAAGCAGGAGAUGUGAACGGCAGGACGCUCCGAUUCCCACGCUCGGGGGCAAGUGGUAAAGCCUGGCCGGCAGCCUAUGACAGACAGCCCUGUUGGGGGGCAGGGGUAUGAAAAAAAACAUCAAGCACACACACCAUACUCAUCUCCACCGCUUAAGAAAGUAAAGGCAUUUCCCACCCACAGCCAUCUGCAGCCUCCCAAACGGCAACACCAACUGGUUGGUAGCUGCUACGUACUGUUUCUGUUAAUUUUUAAACCACUGUUUAAUCUGGCCAUGAUUAAAUUUGGCUUUCUCUUUUGGUGAAAUUUUCAUUAUUUAGGGAAAGCAAGUGAAAAGGGAUGCCAAGAACAUCCCUCAGGGACAUCCUCAGCCUGUGGUUUAGGGCCUUGUGAUCACCUUUGGCUUUUGUUGUGGCUGUUAUAUUUUAAAGUCAUGUCUCAUAACACUCAUUAGGACUGACUUCAUCGGUUGUUUACCUCUUUCUGUGACACUCGGGAACUUGGCCUACUUAUGCAAAUCUACAUUCUGGAAAUAAAGCAACAAACUCACCAGUUUAUACAAAGUUGGUUACAAUCACAAUGUGUUUAAAAACUUGUUUUAGAAUAGUCCUAGCAGGAUGUGUUCUACACAGUUUUUCUCCUCCUUUUCUCCUUCUUCUCCUCCUUCUUCUCCUUCUUCUUCUCCUUCUCCUCCUCCUUCUUCUUCUUUCUUUUCUAUCUGAAAGUAACCAGUCCUAGCAUAAACUUGGAGGUUUUGGAGAUUCCCAUUGUAAUCCUUUCCCGAAAUUCCUUAUAUUUUGUUGCACGUUAUCAGGCAAACAUUGGUAUAGGCAUUUGUACAUAAAUACAACCAUUGCAAUAAAAAAUGUCCAAAAUUGCCUGUUAUCUUCACAUGGCCUAAAUUACUGACUCUCCCAAAUACAUAAUUUUUCUUUACCGCUUCAACUUCUUAUAAGACUGAGACUAGAAAAGCCUGUAAGGCUUCACUUAGAAAAGCUGAGAGACUUUAAUAACUCGAAUUCUCAAUUUGACUGCUGCACACGUGCCCCAGUUUUACCACUGCAGAGACUGUUGAGAAGACCCAUGUUUGUUUACCUUGGAAGCACUGUUUGUGCAAACAAGCUUUCAUUGUAAAGUGCCUGUGUUCCUUUCAUUUGCCCCAUGUCCAGGGGUGCUAUUUACCUAGAACCAUUGUCUACUACAAUUAACAUUUACAUUACAAAGUGUGUGGUUUUCUUUCUCAAGGAGGUUCAAUUAAAGGCAGUAAGAUGUUUGCUGGGGAAACCUAUUGUUUACUCAAAGCACUCAAUGGAGUCAAUUUACUGAAGUUUUUGCCUACAUCUUGGUCGUUUAUGUAAAUCUGUUAACUAUAACAUCUAAGGAAAAUAAACAAUAUUAAAAUUAUGUGUUUGCCAUUGUCAUAUCAAACUUGCUUUGUAUCAUACUAAUGUUACAUAACUUAUCGAUCAAUAAAAAUACAUUUCAAUGUUA
Molecule: long non-coding RNA, 3583 nt
Organism: Peromyscus maniculatus bairdii (prairie deer mouse)
Lineage: Eukaryota; Metazoa; Chordata; Mammalia; Rodentia; Cricetidae
Source: RefSeq, a predicted model, not a curated record